RNAcentral lists this non-coding RNA (203 nucleotides) under Ctenophora environmental sample. Lineage: Eukaryota; Metazoa; Ctenophora. The record is from RNAcentral.
CACUCUUACACAACCCCAAGCACCCUGACGGACCUCCUGCACCCGCCCCAGCUCGCUUGGACCAUGUCACCGAACCUCACUUUUUUCCACUUUUCCCGACUUAGAAUUUUUUGAGGCUCCUCCUGGUAGGGUGAAGACCAGGAUUUUGAGGAGUUUGACUCGUCAGACGACAAGUUCAGAGUCAACUUACGCACCUGUCCUCC